RNAcentral lists this transfer RNA (60 nucleotides) under Anolis carolinensis (green anole). It matches the Rfam family "tRNA". Rfam says of the family: Transfer RNA (tRNA) molecules are approximately 80 nucleotides in length. Their secondary structure includes four short double-helical elements and three loops (D, anti-codon, and T loops). Further hydrogen bonds mediate the characteristic L-shaped molecular structure. tRNAs have two regions of fundamental functional importance: the anti-codon, which is responsible for specific mRNA codon recognition, and the 3' end, to which the tRNAs corresponding amino acid is attached (by aminoacyl-tRNA synthetases). tRNAs cope with the degeneracy of the genetic code in two manners: having more than one tRNA (with a specific anti-codon) for a particular amino acid; and 'wobble' base-pairing, i.e. permitting non-standard base-pairing at the 3rd anti-codon position. Lineage: Eukaryota; Metazoa; Chordata; Lepidosauria; Squamata; Anolidae. The record is from Rfam by way of RNAcentral.
GGUGCAAUGGUUUAAGCAUCAGACUGUGACUCUGGAGACCAGGGUUCAAAUCCCUGACCA